RNAcentral lists this ribosomal RNA (504 nucleotides) under uncultured bacterium. RNAcentral's name for it is "partial 16S ribosomal RNA". It matches the Rfam family "Bacterial small subunit ribosomal RNA", at positions 30 to 523 of the family's 1533-position model. The record is from RNAcentral.
AUUGAACGCUGGCGGCACGCUUAACACAUGCAAGUCGAGCGGUAACAUGAUUAGUAGCAAUACUAAUUGGUGACGGGCGGCGGACGGGUGAGUAACACGUAGGAACCUGCCCAAAAGAGGGGGAUAACCAAGGGAAACUUUGGCUAAUACCGCGUAAUCUCGAAAGAGGAAAGCUGCCCGCAAGGGUGGCGCUUAUGGAGGGGCCUGCGUCCGAUUAGCUAGUUGGUGAGGUAAUAGCUUACCAAGGCGAUGAUCGGUAACUGGUCUGAGAGGACGAACAGUCACACUGGGACUGAGACACGGCCCAGACUCCUACGGGAGGCAGCAGUGGGGAAUCUUGGACAAUGGGGGCAACCCUGAUCCAGCGAUGCCGCGUGGGUGAAGAAGGCCUUCGGGUUGUAAAGCCCUUUAGGUUGGGAAGAAGUGCAUAGGCUGAAUAAUCCUGUGCAUUGACGGUACCAACAGAAUAAGCACCGGCAAACUCUGUGCCAGCCGCCGCCGUAA